RNAcentral lists this ribosomal RNA (253 nucleotides) under uncultured bacterium. Its description in RNAcentral is "partial 16S ribosomal RNA". It matches the Rfam family "Bacterial small subunit ribosomal RNA", at positions 524 to 776 of the family's 1533-position model. The record is from RNAcentral.
UACAGAGGUCCCAAGCGUUGUUCGGAUUCAUUGGGCGUAAAGGGUGUGUAGGUGGCGCCGUAAGUCGGGUGUGAAAUCUCGGAGCUUAACUCCGAAACUGCAUUCGAUACUGCCGUGCUUGAGGACUGGAGAGGAGACUGGAAUUUACGGUGUAGCGGUGAAAUGCGUAGAUAUCGUAAGGAAGACCAGUGGCGAAGGCGGGUCUCUGGACAGUUCCUGACGCUGAGGCACGAAGGCCAGGGGAGCAAACGGG